This is a long non-coding RNA of Oncorhynchus nerka (sockeye salmon), 1227 nucleotides long. RefSeq lists it as uncharacterized. NCBI's taxonomy places the organism in Eukaryota, Metazoa, Chordata, Actinopteri, Salmoniformes, Salmonidae. The record is from RefSeq and is a predicted model, not a curated record. The transcript has 12 exons.
UCAAAUUACGAGGAAAUGGAGACAGUUGAUGAAAUCAAAGAAUGGAACAAAACUAGCAAAAGUUGUAGUAGAAGACAAACACUGGUCCAAUAAUGGACUAUUUUUUUGGACAAGGAGAUUAAUUUGGGAAAUCCAUUUGUAGGACUGUGAAGAAAGCAGUGGGAAAUGUGGAUUAAAUCAAGGUGACUAGAAGCGCUGUUAUUUUGGUUAAUUGGGUCGAUGAAGAACAGAAGAAACAUGCACUAAUCUGGAAAAUUGUCCACGUCAGAAGUAACAUGUAUUGACCUUCGGAGCAGGGCGCCUGCCAAAGGAGGAAUAGCUGCAGUCCAAGUGUCCAAGAAGUCCAAUUAGCUGGGUUUCAUAUCUGCUGCAGCCAAGAAGAUUUUGGGGCUUGAAGACUUUACAGCAGAAGCACUACAGGUCUUGCCCUCCCAGGAGGCUUCUGAGGCUGUGUUGGACCUGUAGGUGGCGGAAUGCACAAUGUUGCGAACGCCAUUAUACCAUAGAAGAAAAAGAAGGAACGGAAGCUUACUUGGUUAUUCAUGAGAGGGUUUUGUGGGUUAAGUCCCCCGUGUGUGUAAACGGUUUCAUUUCUCUUCAAGAUGCGGACGACUCGAGAGAGAGAAUAUCCCGCUCAGAAAUGCAGGACAGAUGUCGGGAAGUCCAGAAGAAUGACACGUCUGCAUUACUUGUGACAUGACUUCCUGACUUCAAGGCAUCUGAACAGAAUCUCCACUUGGAGUUCCAUUCUGGAAUAGGAAUGUGUGCUGGAUACCUGGUUCCAGACCAUGAGACUGAUGCACUUUGUGAAAAUCCAGAUGUGGGGAUGAAGUUUCCUGAAGGGAUUAACACGACCUUCACUGUUGAGCUCGUCCAACAACUAUCAAACUGGGUUCCCCACUACGGGGUUUGGGUGCUGUGGUCCGUGGCAUUGCAGCGUGGACUCCAACAUACUGGUUCUUCUGUAUGUGGCUGAACAGGGAGCCGUGAUGCCAACUAGACUGGUCCUGAUGGUGUUACCAGACUAGUCACUAGAAGAUGCCUGUUACUGAACUACCUCAAGGUCCUGACUGUUGUACCAGACUGGCCACUAGAAGCUCUUUGCUGUGACAGUGAAUGAAGAUGUGGAAUCCAAGUUAUUUUGAUGUCCUUGUGGGUCUGCAGUCUUCAGGAAGGGAUCUGUUCCUUCCAGGUCCUGACUGUUCCAGUCUGGCCACUGGAGAACUG